RNAcentral lists this unclassified non-coding RNA (240 nucleotides) under soil metagenome. Its description in RNAcentral is "partial contains 5.8S ribosomal RNA, internal transcribed spacer 2, and large subunit ribosomal RNA". The record is from RNAcentral.
AACAUCGCGCACCUGCGGGAACCUGCGGAAGGAUCAUUAUAGAGUUGCAAAACUCCCUAAACCAUUGUGAACGUUACCUAAACCGUUGCUUCGGCGGGCGGCCCGGGUCCUUCCCGGCGCCCCUCGGCCCUCGCGGGCGCCCGCCGGAGGUAAACCAAACUAUUGCAUUGUAUGGCCUCUCUGAGUCUUCUGUACUGAAUAAGUCAAAACUUUCAGCAACGGAUCUCAGAUCGGAAGAGC